AAACAAUAAACAUUUGACAUUUCUUUUUUUUUCUUGCUUGAAAAAAAACCCAUUAGUGUUUUAAACAAUAUUCAGACAUGCCCCAAAUAUCACAAAAAAAUGUACUGAAUAGAAAAUGAAACACCUCAUUAACAUCAAUAUUUAGUUUGACCUACUGAGGUAAGAAAAAAAAUAUUUUAAAGAUUUUCUGCCCUGUUUUGUACCAUACUCUGUUGGACAGUGCCAUGAUUAUAUUAUACUAUACGGAAGAUUUGAGUCAGUGCAUAACCAUACAUUUUAUAUGUUUAUUAGCCAAUCCAUUUAAUCACUGAAUGCCUGAGCUGGCCGUGUUAUUCUGCUGUUUCAGCAGCAUUUGUAUGAAAGUGAGCUGCAUGCUGCAUGUGUCAUGCACAUGCAUGUGUUAAAGUGUGUUUAACUCAGCAUUUUCUCUAUGUAACAUGCUGCACAGAGAGAAGGAGGGUGGAGAGUGUUUACCUGUCUACUAUUUAGUAAGCCAAAGCUGUAUCUGGAUAUUGAGGUGCUGUCACAUUCUGAAAACCCCACUAGUGGUGGACAAACUUAAACUCAGCUUAUCGAAUCACAUCGCUCACAUUUAGAGAUGACGUUAGCGCACUUUUGGACUCACAUGGGAACUCACUUCUGAAAUGCAUUUUUUGUAGAGCUAUUAUUUGAUAUGGGCUUUUUGCUGUGGAAACUGCUGUGCAUAUGCUGUACAAAAUCUAACCAUGAUAACCCAGAUAUAGAGAGCCAUUUUAUAUACAUUACUGCAAUUUUAAUAUGCACCGUAUUGUAGAGAACAUUCAAAGCUCAUGUUUUACUUCUCAAGGCAAGACAGAUGUUUGGAUGGAGUUCAGUUUGAAAACAACGGUAACGUAAUAGCUAAAAGAAAAAGUAUUAUACAUGUGUAAUGCAUUAUGAACAUGAAGGGUACAAAAAUGUCAUGUCGAUUGUAUUUUGUCAAUUCAGAUGAUAUUCUUACACCAAAUCACUUGAAAUAUUAUUUUUAUGUAUCCAGCACUGCCAGUUUCCAGUUAGCUUGCCAAAUGCAUUUUAUUUUUGUUGACUAAGGUAAGGAAAAAAUAACAUUAAAUAAUAUUUUCAGACAGGAUUUGUGGGGAAGGGGUUGGGGAGGGAAAUGCCACAUACUUUUUUAAAGAAACUGUAAAUAUUAAAGAUAUUAACAAG
Molecule: long non-coding RNA, 1185 nt
Organism: Sinocyclocheilus grahami
Lineage: Eukaryota; Metazoa; Chordata; Actinopteri; Cypriniformes; Cyprinidae
Source: Ensembl